CUGCAGGAGCGGAGCAAUGCCUAAAUCAAAGGAACUUGUUUCUUCAAGCUCAUCUGGCAAUGAUUCUGAUGGUGAAGUCGACAAAAAGUUAAAGAGGAAAAAGCAAGUUGCUCCAGAAAAACCUGUAAAGAAACAAAAGACUGGUGAAACUCCAAGAGCCCUGUCAUCCUCCAAGCAGAGCAGCAGCAGCAGAGAUGAUAACAUGUUUCAGACUGAGAAGAUGAGGUACGUCAGUGUUCGGGACUUUAAAGGCAAAGUUCUAAUUGAUAUUAGAGAAUAUUGGAUGGAUCCAGAAGGUGAAAUGAAACCAGGAAGAAAAGGUAUUUCUUUAAAUCCCGAGCAGUGGAGCCAGCUGAAGGAACAGAUUUCUGACAGCGAUGAUGCAGUAAGAAAACCGUAAAAUCAGAGCCAUAUAAAACCUGUACUGGUCUAGUUGUUUUCAAUCUGUCUUUUUACAUUGGCUUUUAUUUUCUGUUGUUUUUCAAGCUAUUGUAUAUUUGGAUUGCAGAACAAUUUGAAUACUUUUUUUU
Molecule: RNA transcript, 530 nt
Organism: Trichechus manatus latirostris (Florida manatee)
Lineage: Eukaryota; Metazoa; Chordata; Mammalia; Sirenia; Trichechidae
Source: RefSeq, a predicted model, not a curated record